GCGGAUAUUAUAAUAAAAGAACAUUGAGCAUUUUAAGCAAGAUAUAUAUGUGGUCAUCCAUGACCUAGGGCUAUGGCUAUAUUAUAAAUUUAUGAUGAUCUAGAAAAAAAGACCUUGGUAGCUUUGGUAAUUACAAAACCUUGCUUGCAACUCAAUCAAUCCCAUGCAGGUAAAUUAUUCUUCUUGUUUCAAUUGCACUUUGAAGGGCACAUGACAUGACAUGACCCUUCUGCAAGUAGGGUUAGAGUGGGCUGCGCCAGCUUCAUUCCAUUCAAAUUCCAAAGCAGGUUGAAGGGUCAAAAAAGACAUGCCAGCAAAGUUUUCUUGGGGUUUG
This 334-nucleotide unclassified non-coding RNA is filed under the name Hevea brasiliensis (rubber tree). Lineage: Eukaryota; Viridiplantae; Streptophyta; Magnoliopsida; Malpighiales; Euphorbiaceae. The record is from RNAcentral.